Myotis daubentonii (Daubenton's bat) is the source of this 598-nucleotide long non-coding RNA. RefSeq lists it as uncharacterized. The record is from RefSeq and is a predicted model, not a curated record. NCBI's taxonomy places the organism in Eukaryota, Metazoa, Chordata, Mammalia, Chiroptera, Vespertilionidae.
UCGCUUCCCUGAGUUGGACCAAUCCUGUGCGAGGGCGCCGUGGGCGGGGCACGCUCGGCGGGAGAGCUGCGUGAGAAAUGUCCCGAGGUAGAAUGAGAGCCUUUCCUCUGCGGCCGAGCGCUGGUGGCGAGAGGGACAGUCCGUGUUUGGGGUGAAGGCUGCUCUCCCUUCCUGGCGGCGGGGAAGAAGCACAAUGGAGCUAGGAGCAGAGCCGGCCUUCGCUUGAAGCUGGAUGCUGAGGACCUAGCAGCCGGGAAUGGACAGAACUUGUAUCUGUGACCACGCCUUUGAGCUGAUAAUCCUGCUACACCAGGACCCACCCUACCUCUGCACUUACAGUAAUAGGAGGAGCGCCGUGCAGCUGGGCCCACUGGUCACUGGAAGGCUCGGGAAGCCAUGAAGCCACUGGGAAGCCACUGAUGCCGUGACCUUCUGCUCCUGGCGCUGGAGUGCAGGCCGCGCCUCUGCUCAGACAGGUGGGACGCCUCAGGCACCUGGGCAUUUAUUUACCUGUGGCCUCGGUGGCUACCGGGAAUUUACCAUUCCGCCUCACUUCCGCCUGCUCAGCCAGGCACCGGACCCCCCUGGAGGGGCUGCU